RNAcentral lists this ribosomal RNA (301 nucleotides) under uncultured bacterium. RNAcentral describes it as "partial 16S ribosomal RNA". It matches the Rfam family "Bacterial small subunit ribosomal RNA", at positions 509 to 807 of the family's 1533-position model. The record is from RNAcentral.
CAGCAGCCGCGGUAAGACGAACCGUGCGAACGUUAUUCGGAAUUACUGGGCUUAAAGCGCGUGUAGGCGGGCCGCCACGUCGGUUGCUGAAAUCCCCCGGCUCAACCGGGGAAGUGGCAUCGAUACGAGCGGCCUUGGGGGGGGUAGGGGGGUCUGGAACUUCCGGUGGAGCGGUGAAAUGCGUUGAGAUCGGAAGGGACGCCCGUGGCGAAAGCGAGGUCCUGGACCCUUUCUGACGCUGAGACGCGAAAGCCAGGGGAGCGAACGGGAUUAGAUACCCGCGUAGUCCCUGUCUCUUAUA